RNAcentral lists this transfer RNA (90 nucleotides) under mine drainage metagenome. Its description in RNAcentral is "tRNA-Ser". It matches the Rfam family "tRNA". Rfam says of the family: Transfer RNA (tRNA) molecules are approximately 80 nucleotides in length. Their secondary structure includes four short double-helical elements and three loops (D, anti-codon, and T loops). The record is from RNAcentral.
GGAGGGAUGGGUGAGCGGUUGAUACCGGCGGUCUUGAAAACCGUUGUGCCAGAAAUGGCACCGGGGGUUCGAAUCCCUCUCCCUCCGCCA